UCUGGGAUGCAGAAGGCUGGCAUACUUUGGCUGCCCUCUCAGAAAUGUGCCGGCAUGCCCAGAUGAAAACUGUCCUGGCCCCACCUGCUCUCAAAUGCCAGAAUCAUAACGCAUGCCCAGCACCUCUGCCUUUGUCAAUAAUGAUGAUAGAGGAGAACGUGAUUUCCAAAUGUGAGGCUGAAUUCCCUGAGAUUUGUUUUUUUUUUUUUUUCUUUUUACCUCUUUUUGUUUCCCAACGUCUCCUGGGCCUGCUCUUUGUCACACACAGAAAGAGAACACAUGCUCAGUAGUGGUCAAAGCAUUUUUCACAUUCUUCCACAGCAACAACAAAUCAGAACAGCCUUUCCUUAUAGUGUGGGUUUCCCACCAAACCUAAGACCUGAGGAGUUGGGGCCCCUGGUAUCUGCCCACUGGUUUGGAUUGGCUGGAUCAAUAUGGCCCUAACUAGGGAACCCAUUGGCAUUGCACCCAUGGACUCUGAGAAAGGCAUAUGAUCAAGGUUCUCUCUCUCUCUCUCUCUCUCUCUCUACUCUACCUUGACCCCGCAGUGUGGACCCUCAAGGUUUGCCGUGUACUUCAUGCAGGACCUGUGAGUAAUAAACCUCUAUUCCAAUUUCUCUUGUGGCUUACCAUCUGGCACCCUGUGCUACACUUAACAUAUGUUCAUUUAACAAAGUCAUAGCACACGGACAGACCCAAACUGAGGGACACUCUAUAAAUGACUUUGACAUCUUCAGAAAAUUUCAGGGGUCAUGAAGGACCAAGAAAGGACUAAGAAACUAUUCCAGACUGAAGGAGACAAGACACAACCAACUGUAACUUGGUUCUGGACUGGUUUGUUUUGCCAUAAAGGACAUGACUGGGACACUUGGUGCAACUCAAAUCCCCAUUUGAGGAUCAGAUUGUAGUGGUAUAUCAAUGUUUAUUUCCUAACUUUGAUGGUUGAACUGGGUUACACAGGACAAUGUCCUUGAUUGAAGGAAUUACAUACUCAUUCAGGGGCGAUGUAACAUCAGAUUGGCAAUUUUCUACCAAAUUUUUAGGAGAAAGAUAAUUCUUUGUACUGCUGUCCAAAACUUCUAUGAGUUUGUUUCAAAAGGAAAAGAGAAAGGAAGUAGUGUUGAGUUUGGUUGGGAGGGAGGUCAGGGUCACUGAACUUGUUUUUCAGGUGGUUUUAAGCACAAGCCUGAGAAUUUCAAGUUCAAAAAAGCUGGAACUUGAAUCAUCGCUUUGAGAGCUCCUAUAGGGAUCUUGGUGGAAAUGGGAUGGAGGGAUAUCAGAUGAACAAGUUUGUACAAAAUCUUGCUACUCAGGUAAAAGGACUGGCAAUGAUUCAGUAUAUAGGCUUUUAGGUGUUUGUGUGUGUGUGUGUGUGUGUGUGUGUGUGUAGAAGCUUCUUUUAUAUGCAAAUCCCAUCGUACAAACUGGUUAUGACCUCACCAACUUAACAACAUCCUUCUACAACAUCAUUUUUAAAGGUCAACUAGUAUAUAUCCCAUUGCAUGUGAACUUUAAUUUAGUUUACUAAUUGCUACUGGGGUUGGAUUUGACAUUUCUUGCUCCGUGCCUUAGAUUUUUGGCUCAUACUGUGCCUUAAUGUGAAAGAGGAAAAAAAGAAACAACUUGCCAGGUUCUUUCUGGGAGGACUUGUGUUGUUUCCCACUUUCCCACAAACAGAAUCGGGCUGUGAGAAGGAAGUUUCCAAGAGUGUUUAAGAUCCUACCCCUAAACAGAUGAGCUGGGUUCAAAUACUGACUCUCCCCUCACCACCUGUGUGAGGUUCGCUGGUUCGCCAUUAACCAUUAGCUAACAUCUCUGUGCUUCAGUUUCCUCAUCUGCAAGAUGGGGGUGAAGUGAAUAGUAUCCGUCUCACAGGGUUAUUGAAGGAUUCAUAAGCUGUGAGUAGCUUGUACAUGGUAAGCACCCAUUGGCGUUGGCCAUUGUUAAUACUAUGAAUAGACUUAAGCGACAACUUCUGAGGUCUGCAGAAAGCUAGAAAGACAUCAAGUUGGGCAAUCUCCUCCCCAGAAAAGGAAAUAGUCCUGUGUUGGUGGCAAGAAGUAAUUAUGAUGGAAAAAACAUUUUCCAAGGUCUGGAGCUGACGUGUACUCCUUGUGACAUUUUAAUCUCUGAGUAAUACAUUCCAUUGCCUGCAGAGCUGUGAUUUUUCAGUUUAUUGCUUUUUCCUCUUCUCUCCUCAAACCUGGAUUCCUCUUCCUCUCGGCUCCAGCCUGUCUCCAGCAACCAUGGACUGUUUCUGGACAGUCCCCAUUCUGGAGCCAGCUUCUUUACUCAACACAGGCAAGGAAGCCUGAAGCCCCAGAGUGGCACACUGCCCUCCUUGGGGAAAGAGGCCCAACUGUGCACUCCAUCUGUCACGUCACCUUUCAUGCUGGUGACAACUGUACAGGGUAGAUAUAUCACUGAGACAAUCUCCAUUCUAGGGUUGUGCAGAGGGGAUUCACGCGUGGGGCUUUGGAGUUAGUGAGCCCCGCUCUGGUUUUGUCACUGUGACACCUUGAGCAAGUUCCUUAACUUCUCUGAGGCUUAGUUUCCUUAUCUCUAAAACAAAGGGGAUAAAAAGGAUGCUGGGCUUAGAGGGAUUGAAUUAAAUUACAUAUAUAAAACAAGUAUAUGGCAUAGCACCUAGAGCAUAGAACAUACUCACUAAAUGGAUUACUACUGUUGUUUUAUUUAGAGUUGAAAACACGGAGCCUCAGGGUAGUCAUAUUUAUUAUUGUAUUUUGCAAAUGAGGAAGCCCCGCUACACCUUAGUGCUUUUCCCACUGCACAUAGUGGCUCGCCCCUCUGGCCAAGACUACCAUUCCCCUGCCUUUUAUGUUAGUAGAAAUUUUAGAUGGGCAUAAGGGCUCCAUUUCCCAGCAUUCCAUGUGGCCAGAUGUGGUCACGUGACUAGUUUGGCAAGUAAAAUGUGUCUGGAAGUGACAUGAAGCUUCCUGGUUAGGUGAACACAAGGGAGGGGUUUGCUUUUCCUCACCUCUUUCCCUCUUGAAAUGACUACAUGAACUUUUACAUAAGAAGGAUAUAACCUUCUGUGUUGUUUAAGCCAUUGUAUUUUGGAUCUUUUUGUUACAGCAGCCAAAUCUGCAUAGAGAGGGGGCAGCAGAGUUAAGAGUAAUAGGACCUUGGCUAGGAGUCCAGAGACCUAGGUGUCCUAGCCAUACUUCUCAUUUGUCACAUGACCAAAAUAUUCAUUCACAUGCUCAUCUUACAACCUUUAGGCGGCAACUGCACUUGACAACAGCAAUACAGAGAUAAAUAGGACAUAGACCAGAAACAACCAAAUCCACCUGCAGCCAUGAUGAUGUUAUGCAUGUCAAUCCUUGAGGGGAGCAUAUUCUCCUAUAGAGGAUACAGAUUCAGUUCCAGAGGCAGCCCAGGGCUCUCAGGGCAUAUUCCUUCUGACAUGCAGUGAUUACAUCCAUUUUUCUUAUGGGGCAGAAUCAUCAUUUCCAUCUUCUAAUUCCUAGUUGAGCCAAGGAAGCAAACACCUUAACAAGAGAACCAAAGCAGAGGAUGAGGGGGACUGGUCAUGAGCACAUAUGAGACACCUCUGGGAAUUCCCAGAUAUGACUCAGUGACAUGCUGAAGGUACAGAGCAGCUUGCCUUUAAAAUAUCUUCCAGCCUCAGAUUCCUUCUCCUCUCCUCUGAACAGUCACCAUCUUUCAGACUGAGGAUCAGCAUGGCAGAGGGAUGUGGAAAAGGGGAGAUGGUCACUCUCAUCCAAAGGCACAGGAAUGGGAAGAUGGGGAAAGGGUGCAUGUGGCCGCCUUUUGCCUCCUGUUAUAACUCAGGUCAUUGUUGACAAUUGAACUGAAUGCUAAUAUUGCAACAUUAAUCCUCCUCUUUAGGAUGGUUAACCAGAGAACUGUGGGAUUCUCCCUCUCUCUCAUCUACUCUCACAGGGUCUAUCCUGCCUAACAAUCUCCCUGCAUGGCUUAAAUCACCUCCAGAGCUUCACUCACUGAAGAAAAACAAACACACCUUGAAGUUUCUGAUUUCCCCUAAUUUAACCCCGGGAAAAGUGCCAUCUCUGCACCUUCACUAUCAAGAUUUUUCCUGUCUUAUCAGUAAAAUGCCAUACAAGAACAGUAAAAACUGUGCCUCACAUUCAAAACAAAUCACUUGGUCUUAAGAUAUGGAGAUGAUGUUUUUCUAAUCCCUUGAGAGUAGAGAUAAGACUAAUUCUGAUUUUCCAGGAAAGCAGGGUGAAAGUUGGCUAAGGAGAUGGGCAGAGAACAACCUAAAGUAUUCAAGUCCUGUGCCAACUACUCUAAGCUUGACAAGGGCAUGUGGAGAAAAGGCAGACAUGCUUGACGUGGUCCACAUGAGGGGGUCACACAGGUGAGGGGUCCACCUGUGGGGGUCCACAGGUGAGGGCAUUCAGAGGAGGCAACAGCCCUCCCCCGGUCCAAGAGACCCAUGGUGAUCCACCAAUGGGGGCACUGUUGUUCUGCCCUCAGAAUCUGAGACAGAGCUCUUAUAUAAUAUGCCAGUGCCCAGAACAGCUUCCAGGGGCUGAUUUCUGCCUAUUUUGAGAAGAAGGCUUUGAAAUUUUGAAGAUUCUACAUUAUAGAUAGACCAACAAUCUUUUCCCCCCACCUCUUUAACGGUCAAAAUUUUAUCAGUUAAUGCAUAUACAGAGGGAAAAAUUAAGAUGGGUUUAUAAUAAAAAGAAAUAGUCUCUUGCCCUAUUUCUCCCUACCUGGUCCUUUUUGUCCAGAAACCAUUUCUCCUUUUAAAUUUUAAAGUUUUAUUUAUUUAUUUAGUUUUAUUAUGGUGGUUAUUGCUAAUUUGCUAUAUUGCCCUUUCAUGAUUUAUCAGCUUUACACAUUUUACAUUGACUUCUUAUUAAGAUGUGAGAGUUUUGCUCACUGGAUCCCUUCUCUAAUCCUAUGACCCUUUAUAUAUUCACAUUACUAUUUUCAGUUCCAGCUUUUGUAAUUUAAAACACUACAACUGAAUUUCUAUUUAUCUUAUCAUAUCUUAUCAGCUGAAGCCAAUUCUUCCUAAUUCAUGCAAAAAUUGGAUUGAGGGUUAAUGAGGAGGACAGACACCCAUAGAAUCAAAGAGGCUGAAGAGUGAAGCUUCAGCAAAGUAACGAUUAGGGGUUGUUCUGGGAAUCUAGGGUUGUUUUGAGAAUUGAUGCACUGUCUCUUUAAGGCACCACCCAAUGUGAAUUAAUGGCCAUUCUUAAUUUACCAGGAAGAGGAAGUCUGAAUGGCUUAUACUGGGCCACAUGCCCACCCAAACGUGUGGAUUGACAUUCUCAUUAAGACUGCAUGUGUUGGUUGAGGAGGAGAAAUGACCCAAAGGAAAAUUGAGGUGGUAUUUUAGAAGAUGGGGGUAAGGAUGCUGGGUACUACACUCCUAGAUUUGUAAGAUAUUAUUAGUACAUGGUCACCCUUUCCUUCCCAUAACCUCUCCUCCCUUCCUACAUUUCUCAUCUGAAUUGGCAGCUUUACACUAACAAGAGUCAUUAUAUUUAUAGUCUUUGCUGAGCAUGCUCUUUGUUGGUUUUAAAAAUUAAAAAUCAUUAAACAAACUUUACAGUAUUAUCUUUCUGGAGGAAGAGUAAUGUGCUAUGAUAACAAUCAUCUAAUAGUUUUUAAAUUUUUCCUGGAAUUUCUAGUUGACUUUUUUUAUUUUCUGCCUCUUUCAUAUGCUUAUGUUCCUAAAAUGUCUCCAGCAUAGUAGCUACUUUUUAGACUAUUCUUCCCCAGAGACCUUCUCUUGGCACUCUCCAUUUACCUCCUCUAAUUUAGACUGAUUGUCUCCUGGGACUGAUAAUUAGCUGGUGUUUUCCUUCCCUCCCAUUCUCCUCUAAAUUGGACACACCAUCCCCUGGAUCUUAUGACUUCCUCUUUCUAGAUUUAGUUCCUCAUUUUACUAGAGCACAUCUUCUCUAGUAACUCCCAAGUGAACAGUGGAUAGGAGAUAAACUUUCUGCAUAUAAAAAAAAAUCUAUUCUGCCAUUAUUAUUUAAUGACAUUUUUUCUGGGCUAGAAUUCAAGUCAAAGACCAUUUUCUUUCAGCAUGUGGUGUUGUUGUACCAGUCUGUUUCUUUCUUGGCCAUUUUUAGAUGACUUCUUUCUCUCUCUGAAAUUUUAGGAUAUUUUCUUUAUCUUUGGUGCUCUGAAAUUUCUUGGAGAUGUGUCCAGGAGGGGAUCCUUUAAAAUGCACACCGUUCAGUGAAAAAACUCUUAUCCUUCAUCUUGGGAAAUACAUUGGUAUUAUUUCUUUCUCUCCCUUUUCUCUGUGUUCUCUUUUUGGAUCUCCAAUGGGUCAGAUGUUGGAUUUUCUGCACUUAUCCUUCAUGGUGCUUGUAUUUUUUUCCUCUCAGAUUUUAAGGAACUCAUACCAAGUGGAGGAGACAGUGGUGCUAAAAGUAUGGUGCGUAUAGUGGGAUGGCUCACUCAACACGUUCUAGCUUGCCUCUCUCUGCUACGCAGACUGGAAAACUGAAACUUAACAUUUCAUAGACCACUUGUAGCUGGAGUUCAGGCAUGUGGCCUGCGUUCUUCCAAUGACAUGUUCUAGUACAAGUGGCGGCAGAAAUGAUCAACAUGAGGAGGCAGCCUUAUACAUGGAGGUUGAAUAUUCUGAUGAGACGAGGGUAGAGGUGUCCAGUUCUGAGGUGGCUGUAGCCAGCCAUGCCUGUCUCCUCAGGACACUUUGGGUGAUCAGUGCUAAGGAUCAGAAGCAGUAGCUGCCAUGACUUCCCCAAGCAGCUAGUGUGAUCAGGCUCUUCCCUGGCUAUUAUUUCUGGUUAGGUGGUAUUGAGACCUGGUUCUUGAUCUCUUCUCCAAAUUCUGUGAGUCCAUCCCCCCACCCCCCAGUAUCCUUUAACAAAUCUCUUUCUGUUUGAACCAGCCAGAGUGGGUUUUGUUGUUUGCAUAUAGAAACCUUGACACGGAGGUAUGUACAGGAGACUGGGGCAGAAGACACAAAGUGGACUUCCCCUACAUGAAAUGAAAGGAAUGAUUUCACAGCAUGAAUGGCAACUGGGCAGAAAAUUUUAGGAUGAGUAGAAGUUUACUGAAUGGACAAAGGUAGAAAGAGAUCUCAGACAGAGGCACAAAACUGAAGGAGCUCAUACAUAUUCACUUCCCCGUUUAUUCAUUCAUUAAAUAUUCAUGAAUACACACUAUGUUCCAGGGACUGAGCCAGAUUCUAAGUGUACAACGGUGAGUAAGAAGAUAACCAUGAUUCCUGCCCAGAGUAUGUUUGUAUAUUUUCAAGUUAUGCAUGUAGAUCAUGUUAACCUGUAACAAUUUAGAUACGAACGUCACAAUAAAAAAUUGUGUGUCCCUUUCA
This is a long non-coding RNA of Neofelis nebulosa (Clouded leopard), 7339 nucleotides long. RefSeq lists it as uncharacterized. The transcript has 3 exons. The record is from RefSeq and is a predicted model, not a curated record. Lineage: Eukaryota; Metazoa; Chordata; Mammalia; Carnivora; Felidae.